RNAcentral lists this ribosomal RNA (254 nucleotides) under uncultured bacterium. Its description in RNAcentral is "partial 16S ribosomal RNA". It matches the Rfam family "Bacterial small subunit ribosomal RNA", at positions 524 to 776 of the family's 1533-position model. The record is from RNAcentral.
UACGUAGGGGGCAAGCGUUGUUCGGAUUUAUUGGGCGUAAAGAGCUCGUAGGCGGCUCGGUAAGUCGGAUGUGAAACCUCCAGGCUCAACCUGGAGACGCCAUCUGAUACUGCCGUGGCUUGAGUCCGGUAGAGGAGCAGGGAAUUCCUGGUGUAGCGGUGAAAUGCGCAGAUAUCAGGAGGAACACCAGCGGCGAAGGCGCUGCUCUGGGCCGGUACUGACGCUGAGGAGCGAAAGCGUGGGGAGCGAACAGG